CGCACGAGUUCAGACUCGUGGCGAAUAGCUCAGUAACACGUGGCCAAACUACCCUUCGGAACACAAUACCCUCGGGAAACUGAGGCUAAUAGUGUAUACCAUACCACCACUGGAAUGAGUGGUAUGCCAAACGCUCCGGCGCCGAAGGAUGUGGCUGCGGCCGAUUAGGUAGACGGUGGGGUAACGGCCCACCGUGCCAAUAAUCGGUAUGGGUCAUGAGAGUGAGAACCCAGAGACGGAAUCUGAGACAAGAUUCCGGGCCCUACGGGGCGCAGCAGGCGCGAAACCUUUACACUGCACGACAGUGCGAUAGGGGGAUCCCAAGUGCACAGGCAUAGCGCCUGUGCUUUUCGGUACCGUAAGGUGGUACCAGAAUAAGGGCUGGGCAAGACCGGUGCCAGCCGCCGCGGUAAUACCGGCAGCCCAAGUGAUGGCCGAUCUUAUUGGGCCUAAAGCG
RNAcentral lists this ribosomal RNA (457 nucleotides) under halophilic archaeon. RNAcentral's name for it is "bacterial SSU rRNA". It matches the Rfam family "Archaeal small subunit ribosomal RNA", at positions 59 to 517 of the family's 1478-position model. Lineage: Archaea; Methanobacteriati; Methanobacteriota; Halobacteria; Halobacteriales. The record is from RNAcentral.